Molecule: ribosomal RNA, 465 nt
Filed under: uncultured bacterium
Lineage: Bacteria
Description: partial 16S ribosomal RNA
Rfam family: Bacterial small subunit ribosomal RNA
Source: RNAcentral
CCUACGGGGGGCUGCAGUAGGGAAUCUUCCACAAUGGGCGAAAGCCUGAUGGAGCAACGCCGCGUGGGUGAAGAAGGUCUUCGGAUCGUAAAACCCUGUUGUUAGAGAAGAAAGUGCGUGAGAGUAACUGUUCACGUUUCGACGGUAUCUAACCAGAAAGCCACGGCUAACUACGUGCCAGCAGCCGCGGUAAUACGUAGGUGGCAAGCGUUAUCCGGAGUUAUUGGGCGUAAAGGGAACGCAGGCGGUCUUUUAAGUCUGAUGUGAAAGCCUUCGGCUUAACCGGAGUAGUGCAUUGGAAACUGGGAGACGUGAGUGCAGAAGAGGAGAGUGGAACUCCAUGUGUAGCGGUGAAAUGCGUAGAUAUAUGGAAGAACACCAGAGGCGAAAGCGGCUCUCUGGUCUGUAACUGACGCUGAGGUUCGAAAGCGUGGGUAGCAAACAGGAUUAGAUACCCUUGUAGUC